AUGCCAUAUGUGCAGCCAAAAAAGAAGGAAAAAAUAAUCCCUUUUGAUGGAGAAAGAUUGGGAAGUGGGGGUGCCAUGAGCCUGGGGCAGGGACUCCAGAGCCCUCUGGGUACCCUCAGGCCGAGUGAUGGUGAGCCCUGGGCUCUUGCUGCUGCUGCUGCUGCUGCUGCUGCCCUGCAUGCUGCCCUUGGCCUCGUUGCACACCUGGAAGACUGGGUGGCAUCAGUUCCACAAGCCAAACGGAUACAUGUGCUCAAGGCACUCAGAGUGCCAGAGCAACUGCUGCAUCACCAACAACUACGGGAAGCUGCUGUUCUGCACGGCCAGGACCAUCUUCUUACAGUGUGUGCCCUGGCGCAAGGUGAGGGCGAGCCCCGGCCUGAGGGGAGCCCCAGGGGCUCUGAUCUGUGUCUGACCUCUGACCUCUGUGUCCCCCAGCCCAACUGGGACUAUUGUACCUACCACAGCGAGUGCCAGAGCAAGUGCUGCCUCAGGCUGAAUGAGGUCAGCAAGCACCGCUGUGUUCCUCAGACGGGGGUCCUGGUCCAGUGCCUGCCUGUGUGA
This 564-nucleotide long non-coding RNA is filed under the name Sus scrofa (pig). Its description in RNAcentral is "lncRNA (ENSSSCG00045008328.1)". Lineage: Eukaryota; Metazoa; Chordata; Mammalia; Artiodactyla; Suidae. The record is from RNAcentral.